GGGGGCGUAGCUCACCUGGGAGAGCGCGACAUUCGCAUUGUCGAGGUAACCGGUUCAAGUCCGGCCGUCUCCACCA
Molecule: transfer RNA, 76 nt
Filed under: Clostridia bacterium
Lineage: Bacteria; Bacillati; Bacillota; Clostridia
Also listed under: 1 other name
Description: tRNA-Ala
Rfam family: tRNA
About the family: Transfer RNA (tRNA) molecules are approximately 80 nucleotides in length. Their secondary structure includes four short double-helical elements and three loops (D, anti-codon, and T loops).
Source: RNAcentral